UUAAUAUCUAUCGUACUCGUGCAAAUGUUACGUGUCAGGUACUUCCUGAAGGACAAUCUCAGCUUAUGUAACACGUAUAAGCGAUUAGGUAUGACGCGCUUGAUAUGCGAUCUUCAUGUACGUAUAUGAUAAUGUAACGUAAACCAUCAGCAAUAUAUGGAAUCGCGUAGAUCCAGAAGAUAAUCUGGCAUCCCAGCCGUUAAAUAUACGCCUACGACUUCUUAUGUUAUACCGCAAACGGAGAAGGAUUUUCUCCCUGGCCGGUGCGAGACUCGUUUGCGAAGAUUACGCGGAGCAGGCGACAAACAGUCGUUGAGCCGGUUCGGAAGACCGGGCUUGUGACAGUGUCUCGCAGGUCCCAGGCACUCUAGGAUUGAGGAGGAAUGCGACCUUGACGUCGCAAGUUUAAAGGAUGUUUAUGUGGGGACGAUUAGACUGCCGAUGUAUCUACUCCUCAAUUCCUUACUAUGCGCGUUAUACACGGCUGUAACCUUUGUUCGACCCUGUAUAUCCUCCAGAAUCCUGACUCGGUUGUAUCCUUGAGGACGAGAAAGAGCAGCUGUACCUUCUACGACGAACGAUUCGCCACACACGCUGACGUCAUCGAGGAACGCGUCACGUCGCCGUCGGUCCCUUUAUUGGCCUUAUUGUGGAGUCGACGAGAAAGAGGGAAGAAAAUAAUAAGGAGCCACGUAGGGGGAGACAAAGGUGGCGAGAUUCUCGAGGGACCGGUCCUACUGCAGGUUCGCGUCGAAGAACAUCCCUCCUGUACUCCCGCUGCCUGUGCCACGGACAUAUAUUUGGGAAGAAACUCUCUCGAGCGAGUGAGCGAGCGAGCUACGGACGGACUUGCUGACGAUGAGCCUACAAAGGAGAGUUAGUCGGACAGAGAGUCAAGAACCGCCGGACAAAGAUGCCCCUCGCUAUGCCACCUCGUCCUGCGCCUACGAAGAGACGUCGUUCCGAAAUUUCACUUUCACUUUGGUCAAGUCACUUGCAGGCUCGGCUUCGAAGCCAUCCCACGAGAGCUGAGAAAACAAAUACGGUUUACGUGGGGGACCGAGUCGAUAAAACGAAAAAGAAGACAAAAGUAGUCGGAACGUCGAAGAAGAUUCGGAGAAACGGAUUUCUGCGAUCACAAACGCGUAUCAGGCUGAACUGUGAAAUUUUUCAUCUACGGAACCGUAUAAAGUGCUACCAGGGAUCCCGUAACAGCGUCAACGCUAAUCACCGAGUUACUUCGGGCGCGACGAAACCCAGGAGGUGCAGUUGUAAGGCGGACCGCUAGGCCUGAGCUCUCGCGUAAUCGCGUAAUCGUAUAAUCGAACCGCAUGACGAACUAACAAGCGACAGCCGUGGAGCGGGCGGAGGACGAGCAGUUAUGCAAGGUAGUGGGCAAGGGUAAAAAGUUGCGGAUAUCACACAGCGUCGAACACGUAGAUGCUGACCAGCCAAGCUCUAAUAAACACCGAACGGAGAAAUUGAAGGAAAAAAUGAAGACGCGGAGAGCUGGACCUGAGAAGAGCCGCAGGAUUCGCGAUGAAGAGAGGAAGAGAUGGAAAGGGACGAGGUGUGCAGGCGGAGAGGUCAGUAACCCCGCAGCGUUGACCGCACGGACUAAACUGCGCCCAUCACCCGAGGAAAUCCGAGUUGAAACGGAGGGACGUUAAGGCGCGGAUUGUCGGUGCAGUUUAAGAUCGAUGACCGAUGACUGUGCAAGCAAGGGAUAAGAAAUUUGCUUCCUUCUUCUUCCUCUUUUCAUCUUUAUCCCGCGAACUUUGCCGCCAUAGAAAUAUUACAUGUAUUAUAAUACGUACUAUGCUGUCGUUAAGUUACGUAUACCUGAUACGUACAUGAUCACGUGGUAAUAAAACGGUAGUUCCAUAUAA
Long non-coding RNA from Neodiprion virginianus, 1889 nucleotides. RefSeq lists it as uncharacterized. The transcript is spliced from 5 exons. Lineage: Eukaryota; Metazoa; Arthropoda; Insecta; Hymenoptera; Diprionidae. The record is from RefSeq and is a predicted model, not a curated record.